This 613-nucleotide ribosomal RNA is filed under the name Nocardiopsis alba. RNAcentral describes it as "bacterial SSU rRNA". It matches the Rfam family "Bacterial small subunit ribosomal RNA", at positions 277 to 886 of the family's 1533-position model. The record is from RNAcentral. Lineage: Bacteria; Bacillati; Actinomycetota; Actinomycetes; Streptosporangiales; Nocardiopsidaceae.
UUACGGGUAGCCGGCCUGAGAGGGCGACCGGCCACACUGGGACUGAGACACGGCCCAGACUCCUGCGGGAGGCAGCAGUGGGGAAUAUUGCGCAAUGGGCGAAAGCCUGACGCAGCGACGCCGCGUGGGGGAUGACGGCCUUCGGGUUGUAAACCUCUUUUACCACUCACGCAGGCUCCGGGUUUUCUCGGGGUUGACGGUAGGUGGGGAAUAAGGACCGGCUAACUACGUGCCAGCAGCCGCGGUAAUACGUAGGGUCCGAGCGUUGUCCGGAAUUAUUGGGCGUAAAGAGCUCGUAGGCGGCGUGUCGCGUCUGCUGUGAAAGACCGGGGCUUAACUCCGGUUCUGCAGUGGAUACGGGCAUGCUAGAGGUAGGUAGGGGAGACUGGAAUUCCUGGUGUAGCGGUGAAAUGCGCAGAUAUCAGGAGGAACACCGGUGGCGAAGGCGGGUCUCUGGGCCUUACCUGACGCUGAGGAGCGAAAGCAUGGGGAGCGAACAGGAUUAGAUACCCUGGUAGUCCAUGCCGUAAACGUUGGGCGCUAGGUGUGGGGACUUUCCACGGUUUCCGCGCCGUAGCUAACGCAUUAAGCGCCCCGCCUGGGGGAGUACGGA